This 282-nucleotide unclassified non-coding RNA is filed under the name uncultured fungus. RNAcentral describes it as "sequence contains ITS1". The record is from RNAcentral. Lineage: Eukaryota; Fungi.
AUCAAAAACAGCAGGACUAUGACUGUAAUAGAAAUAGCUGGUGAAUCACGAGUUCGGCCUACCGCCUCUAGCUGAACGUGUUUUGCCAUAAUGCUAGCAGAGGACAAUCGCUCGCACGAGAGAUUGCCUACCACACGGAUGAUCUAUUGAAGCAAUAGGUCUCGGUCACCGGGUAUCAUGCUUAUAUACUCUGAGAUACAGCUAGUGGGCUUCAUACGUGUUGAUAUCGAGAGUAUUCGCUCUCCCGACCUCAACUCAGGUGUGAUUACCCGCUGAACUUAA